UACGGAGGGUGCAAGCGUUAAUCGGAAUUACUGGGCGUAAAGCGUGCGCAGGCGGUUUGUUAAGUCUGCUGUGAAAUCCCCGAGCUCAACUUGGGAAUUGCAGUGGAUACUGGCAAGCUGGAGUACGGUAGAGGAAGGUGGAAUUCCCGGUGUAGCAGUGAAAUGCGUAGAGAUCGGGAGGAACACCAACGGCGAAAGCACUCUGCUGGGCCGACACUGACACUGAGAGACGAAAGCUAGGGGAGCGAAUGGG
RNAcentral lists this ribosomal RNA (253 nucleotides) under uncultured bacterium. RNAcentral's name for it is "partial 16S ribosomal RNA". It matches the Rfam family "Bacterial small subunit ribosomal RNA", at positions 524 to 776 of the family's 1533-position model. The record is from RNAcentral.